This 839-nucleotide unclassified non-coding RNA is filed under the name Hevea brasiliensis (rubber tree). The record is from RNAcentral. Lineage: Eukaryota; Viridiplantae; Streptophyta; Magnoliopsida; Malpighiales; Euphorbiaceae.
UUCAGCAUAUAGCAUUUCAUUCUGGCAGAAUUUGAAUCAUGUUAGUAUACCUAGAGGAAAAUAACAAUCUGGCAGUAUUGAUUCUCGAUGACAUAGAGAAUCACACAGUCCACAGCUGUAAUAUAAACAAUACCUUUUUGGACCUAACUCUGCUGAUUCCUUUCUCCAAUCUGCCUUCCAAGCUCUUAAGUUCCUUAAAGGUCAAGGUGCUAAGUGCCUCACCCAGAAUAUGCCUAUUUAAAUUUUGAAUUUCCCGAAUUUGCCUGCGUAGUUUGGAGGAUUCUUGUUGGUAGAACUGAGGUCAUGUUCAUGCAGCAAUAGUUAAUCUCAUUGAAUUGAACACCAAAUAAGGUCAUUGUUUCAGUGAACUUGUGAAAGGACGGGUACGUGGAUUCAUAUAGUUGAUAAUUGUUUUCUAUAUCAGAGAAAUUCUUAUGCAAGUGCUUGACCACUAGACUACUAACCAAUGGCUUCAUAUGCAGCUAAUAUGAGAAAGUAGAAUACAAGCGGGAGGUCAAUAAAUCCAAGAAGAAUUACGAAAGGAAUUACACUACCAUGUGGGUUAAAUUCAUCUCUUGAAGUAAAAUGAACAGGAAAAACAAUGGUGAAGAGUUUACUGAAAAUUCAGGUCAUGCGUUAGUCAUAAUUCAGAUAGUUUGCAAACCAAAAAAUAUUGAUUUUAUCCAGUGCCUCAGAAUGAACAAAAUCUCUCCUCUCUCAACUACUCAUAUCAUUUAUUCAGAAGCAUGCUCUCAUUAUUAACAUAUGGUAUCAUUGCUUCAAUUAAGACUCCUAAAUCCGAUGCUAUAGUUGCUUGAAAUAAAUGAAUAAAUAAAUAA